CUCAGGAUGAACGCUAGCUACAGGCUUAACACAUGCAAGUCGAGGGGCAGCAUUUUAGUUUGCUUGCAAACUAAAGAUGGCGACCGGCGCACGGGUGAGUAACACGUAUCCAACCUGCCGAUAACUCGGGGAUAGCCUUUCGAAAGAAAGAUUAAUAUCCGAUAGUAUAUUAAAACCGCAUGGUUUUACUAUUAAAGAAUUUCGGUUAUCGAUGGGGAUGCGUUCCAUUAGUUUGUUGGCGGGGUGACGGCCCACCAAGACUACGAUGGAUAGGGGUUCUGAGAGGAAGGUCCCCCACAUUGGAACUGAGACACGGUCCAAACUCCUACGGGAGGCAGCAGUGAGGAAUAUUGGUCAAUGGACGAGAGUCUGAACCAGCCAAGUAGCGUGAAGGAUGACUGCCCUAUGGGUUGUAAACUUCUUUUAUAUGGGAAUAAAGUAUUCCACGUGUGGGAUUUUGUAUGUACCAUAUGAAUAAGGAUCGGCUAACUCCGUGCCAGCAGCCGCGGUAAUACGGAGGAUCCGAGCGUUAUCCGGAUUUAUUGGGUUUAAAGGGAGCGUAGGUGGAUUGUUAAGUCAGUUGUGAAAGUUUGCGGCUCAACCGUAAAAUUGCAGUUGAAACUGGCAGUCUUGAGUACAGUAGAGGUGGGCGGAAUUCGUGGUGUAGCGGUGAAAUGCUUAGAUAUCACGAAGAACUCCGAUUGCGAAGGCAGCUCACUAGACUGCAACUGACACUGAUGCUCGAAAGUGUGGGUAUCAAACAGGAUUAGAUACCCUGGUAGUCCACACAGUAAACGAUGAAUACUCGCUGUUUGCGAUAUACAGUAAGCGGCCAAGCGAAAGCAUUAAGUAUUCCACCUGGGGAGUACGCCGGCAACGGUGAAACUCAAAGGAAUUGACGGGGGCCCGCACAAGCGGAGGAACAUGUGGUUUAAUUCGAUGAUACGCGAGGAACCUUACCCGGGCUUAAAUUGCAUUUGAAUAAUCUGGAAACAGGUUAGCCGCAAGGCAAAUGUGAAGGUGCUGCAUGGUUGUCGUCAGCUCGUGCCGUGAGGUGUCGGCUUAAGUGCCAUAACGAGCGCAACCCUUAUCUUUAGUUACUAACAGGUCAUGCUGAGGACUCUAGAGAGACUGCCGUCGUAAGAUGUGAGGAAGGUGGGGAUGACGUCAAAUCAGCACGGCCCUUACGUCCGGGGCUACACACGUGUUACAAUGGGGGGUACAGAAGGCAGCUACCUGGCGACAGGAUGCUAAUCCCAAAAACCUCUCUCAGUUCGGAUCGAAGUCUGCAACCCGACUUCGUGAAGCUGGAUUCGCUAGUAAUCGCGCAUCAGCCAUGGCGCGGUGAAUACGUUCCCGGGCCUUGUACACACCGCCCGUCAAGCCAUGAAAGCCGGGGGUACCUGAAGUACGUAACCGCAAGGAGCGUCCUAGGGUAAAACUG
This 1444-nucleotide ribosomal RNA is filed under the name uncultured organism. RNAcentral describes it as "SSU rRNA". It matches the Rfam family "Bacterial small subunit ribosomal RNA". The record is from RNAcentral.